This 1885-nucleotide long non-coding RNA is filed under the name Portunus trituberculatus (swimming crab). RNAcentral describes it as "uncharacterized LOC123515379, transcript variant X8". The record is from RNAcentral. Lineage: Eukaryota; Metazoa; Arthropoda; Malacostraca; Decapoda; Portunidae.
CGCAGUUCAAAAGCAACCUCCAGUCAGUCUAGACGCGGCCGCCACUGCGGAGGGUUGUACGCUCACCUGCAAGGUGACCCGCUCUCGGCCUCUGCCACGUCGGUGACAAAGUCCAAAAACUCGUCCAAGUUGAGAAAACUAGUGAGUCUUAACACAUCCACACUGAGGCGAGGCUCCCUGAGCGCCGCAGCGGCCUCCCUCCCUUGCUGUGUGUGUCUUGAGCAGCUGAGUCUGGGCUGCUGGAAUGUUAUUGGUUGCUUCAUUGCAGUAUUCUAAGUGUGAGGCCGCCCUCUAUUGGAAUAGGCUUCCCUCAAUUGCCUUUGUUUGGUUUCAUUUUGCUUGUUGAGUUGUUUUGAUUGUUGCUUCCCGCACCAUUCUGUUCCCGUAUUGAAACUUUAAGGUUAAAGAAACUUUACUCUUCCCUUCCAGGAUGAUUAACAUCCCUGGCCGGGCUGGACUUGCCAGCCGCGCGCCGCCGCCGAGCGUUUAGAAUGCUGCAAUACUUAAUGUUCUAGUUGUGCUUUAGAAAAUAACUGGGCUUGUGCAGGAUGACUGUUCUUGACCUGUCAGUUGUUGCCACUGUCGCCCCCUCCCCCAACCUCCCCUCCCCGCGGCCCCAGCCAUCCCCACCCCGCGUUGGCCGGACCGAUGGGCAGGGAGGGGCCGGGCACGGGUGGUGGGCUAAGCCUGUGGGGUUUCCUCGCCUCACUCCACCCCACGCCGCCCCCACCCACGCCUCCGCCGCCACACUUGGCCUGCCAUGGGUCGUGGCCGCCAGCUGAGAGCGGGGCCCUGCGUGGGUGAGCCAUGCACCAGGAUUGAGCUGCACCUCGAGGAUUGUCUGAGCGAGGAGCGCCGAGGAUGAGAUGAGGCCCAGGCUGUGACGCUGUGACGCUGUGAUGAGGGGAGGCUGUGACGCUGUGACGCUGUGAGGGGAAGCUGUGACGGUGAUAACGGGAGGCUGUGACGCUGUGACGGUGAUGAGGGGAGGCUGUGACGCUGUGAUGAUGAUGAGGUGUGACGGUGAAGAUGUGACGCUGUGAAGGAGGUACGUGCGAGAGAAGGGAACACCGUACAUCUCACUAGGAUUCUCGUACACUCAAGCUCAUGUGUAGGAUGGCGAGUGAGGAAGCCGAGACUACAGAGCGUUGUUCCCGGCGGCAGCACUGCACCACUGCACCACUGCCGUUGUUCCCGCCAGGAUGCGGCCACGGCUGCUGCGCCUCGUGGGGGAAGUGAAGCUUGCGAAGGUUGAAAGCCUGACCACCACCACCAACAACAACACUGCGAGCACCACCAAAGCCUCCUCUUCUAGUCAUCCACCUUCAAUGUUCUUAACUUCACCACCACCACCACCACCACCACGCUGAUGGAACAAUGAAUAGAGGUCUGAGAUGUGUUGGACAUGCUGCUCUUGAAAGGCGACACCAUGAAUGAAUGAAGACUUCUCUGCAGUGUCAGGAUUAGAGGAACAGAAGCUGAGAUGACCACCUACAUCUCUAAGAGAGUUUAUCCACAGAGCUCAGACUCCAGGCACAAAGAUACAGGAUGAUGCAACAUGGGGGGAGAUGAACACACACUGUCUGCACUGCACCAGCAAAAAGAAUUAUGCAAAUAUGUCUGGACUUGCACAAGGCAGUUUCUGAAGUGAGGGGCUCCAAAUAAGAGUCUCCCCUAAAGCUUCCUGACAACAACAACUACUUUAAACCCAACACACACACACACACACACACACACACACACAUUAUUUCUCUCAUCUACCUCCACCAUUCCCUCCUAACCAUAAUGCAUCCUACAUAUUCACAUUUGUAUAGAAACAAAACUUACAUUGGAUUAGUAUAGUUAAAAAUGACAUUGUAUUGUAUUAAUAAAUGUAUGUUGAAUA